CCUACGGGGGGCAGCAGUGGGGGAUAUUGGACAAUGGGGGGAACCCUGAUCCAGCGACGCCGCGUGAGUGAAGAAGUAUUUCGGUAUGUAAAGCUCUGUCAGCAGGGAAGAAAGAAAUGACGGUACCUGACCAAGAAGCCCCGGCUAACUACGUGCCAGCAGCCGCGGGAAUACGUAGGGGGCAAGCGUUAUCCGGAAUUACUGGGUGUAAAGGGAGCGUAGACGGUUAAGUAAGUCUGGAGUGAAAGGCCGGGGCCCAACCCCGGGACUGCUCUGGAAACUAUUGAACUUGAGUGCAGGAGAGGUAAGCGGAAUUCCUAGUGUAGCGGUGAAAUGCGUAGAUAUUAGGAGGAACACCAGGGGCGAAGGCGGCUUACUGGACUGUAACUGACGUUGAGGCUCGAAAGCGUGGGGAGCAAACAGGAUUAGAUACCCCUGUAGUC
This 443-nucleotide ribosomal RNA is filed under the name uncultured bacterium. RNAcentral describes it as "partial 16S ribosomal RNA". It matches the Rfam family "Bacterial small subunit ribosomal RNA", at positions 338 to 795 of the family's 1533-position model. The record is from RNAcentral.